RNAcentral lists this ribosomal RNA (640 nucleotides) under uncultured bacterium. RNAcentral's name for it is "bacterial SSU rRNA". It matches the Rfam family "Bacterial small subunit ribosomal RNA", at positions 202 to 842 of the family's 1533-position model. The record is from RNAcentral.
GAAAGAUUCAUCGGAAGAGGAUGGGCAUGCGGCGCAUUAGCUAGACGGCGGGGUAACGGCCCACCGUGGCGACGAUGCGUAGGGGUUCUGAGAGGAAGGUCCCCCACACUGGUACUGAGACACGGACCAGACUCCUACGGGAGGCAGCAGUGAGGAAUAUUGGUCAAUGGGAGAGAUCCUGAACCAGCCAAGCCGCGUGAGGGAAGACGGCCCUAUGGGUUGUAAACCUCUUUUGUCGGAGAACAAAACCCGGGACGAGUCCCGGACUGCGUGUAUCCGAAGAAAAAGCAUCGGCUAACUCCGUGCCAGCAGCCGCGGUAAUACGGAGGAUGCGAGCGUUAUCCGGAUUUAUUGGGUUUAAAGGGUGCGUAGGCGGUCCGUUAAGUCAGCGGUAAAAUUGCGGGGCUCAACCCCGUCGAGCCGUUGAAACUGGCAGACUUGAGUUGGCGAGAAGUACGCGGUAUGCGCGGUGUAGCGGUGAAAUGCAUAGAUAUCGCGCAGAACUCCGAUUGCGAAGGCAGCGUACCGGCGCCACACUGACGCUGAGGCACGAAAGCGUGGGGAUCGAACAGGAUUAGAUACCCUGGUAGUCCACGCAGUAAACGAUGAAUGCUGGUUGUCCGGGUCGAAUGAGAUCUGG